GGGUUGUACUAGAAGGUCUGCAUGNUAACCCGCAAGGAGGCAGCGGCCCAAGGUAUGACUCAUGAUUGGGGUG
RNAcentral lists this ribosomal RNA (73 nucleotides) under uncultured bacterium. RNAcentral describes it as "partial 16S ribosomal RNA". The record is from RNAcentral.